GAUGAACGCCGGCGGCGUGCCUAACACAUGCAAGUCGAACGGAGUCCAGCCUUUAAGACCUUCGGGUCAAAGAGGGGAAGACUGAGUGGCGGACGGGUGAGUAACACGUGGGCAACCUGGCUCAUAGAGGGGGAUAACAGAGAGAAAUUUCUGCUAAUACCGCAUAAGCACACACUGCCGCAUGGCAGAGGGUGAAAAGAGAAUCGCUAUGAGAUGGACCCGCGUCUGAUUAGCCAGUUGGCAGGGUAAGAGCCUACCAAAGCGACGAUCAGUAGCCGAUCUGAGAGGAUGAACGGCCACAUUGGGACUGAGACACGGCCCAAACUCCUACGGGAGGCAGCAGUGGGGGAUAUUGCACAAUGGGGGGAACCCUGAUGCAGCGACGCCGCGUGAGUGAAGAAGUAUUUCGGUAUGUAAAGCUCUAUCAGCAGGGAAGAUAAUGACAGUACCUGAAUAAGAAGCCCCGGCUAACUACGUG
Molecule: ribosomal RNA, 478 nt
Filed under: uncultured bacterium
Lineage: Bacteria
Description: partial 16S ribosomal RNA
Rfam family: Bacterial small subunit ribosomal RNA
Source: RNAcentral